This 37-nucleotide ribosomal RNA is filed under the name Escherichia coli. RNAcentral's name for it is "23S RIBOSOMAL RNA 1932-1968 from Escherichia coli (PDB 2BH2, chain D)". The record is from RNAcentral. Lineage: Bacteria; Pseudomonadati; Pseudomonadota; Gammaproteobacteria; Enterobacterales; Enterobacteriaceae.
AGCGAAANUCCUUGUCGGGUAAGUUCCGACCUGCACG